Molecule: long non-coding RNA, 1007 nt
Filed under: Homo sapiens (human)
Lineage: Eukaryota; Metazoa; Chordata; Mammalia; Primates; Hominidae
Description: HSALNT0347258
Source: RNAcentral
UCUGCCUAUAGAGGCCUGGGGUCCCUUUGGCAGCACUUUUCUCAAGAAAGUAGAGUCGUGGACAACCAACUGCACAGGUUGGGAGGCUUUGAAGAACAAGCUGCCAUGAAUCCUGCAGCUACAAGGAAAUGAACUCUAUUAACUUGAGUGAGCUUAAAACUAGAUCCUUCCCCAGUCAAGCCUCCAGGUGAGAAUUCAAUCCUGGCUGGCACCUGGAUUGCAGCUUACAGAAGACCCAGCUAAGGCCAUGUCUGGACUUUAAAUCCACAGGAACUGCAAGAUGGUAUCAGAAGUGGGACCUGCAGUGGGGCAUCUAGCAACCCCCAGGAGCAUUGAGUGACCAGGCUUGGGACCCACCGGGCGCAGGGUGUCCAUUGUUCUCUCGAAGCAACUGAGAAUUGUGGAUAUUCUUCAUUAUUCCAUCAUCAUCUCAAACCUCUUGGGUAUAGUGUUUGACUACUACUGUGACCAUAAAUUCCAAUAAAACCUAGGAAAAAUGAAACCACUACAUUAACUGAAAGGGAAGGAUUUGACAGCUUCUUUUGGGCAUAUCAGAAUCGCCAGCAUCACUACUCUUGCACUGUGCGGCCAUUAUUAAGUGAAAUAAGGAUUACUUGAACACAAGCACUGCAAUGCCGCUACAGUCAAUGUGAUAACCCAGCUGGUGACUAAGUGACCAAGGACGGGGAGUAUCUACAGCGGGGAGACUCUGGAAAAAGGGAGGAUUCACAUCCAGUGCCACUGGGGCAGGGCAGAAUGAGAGUUCAUCAUGCUACAAAGAAUGGCACAGAAUAUACGACUUGUGAGUGGAUUAUCUCUGGAAUUUUCUGUUGACUACAUUUGUACUACAGUUGUAUGUGGGUAACAAACUGUGGAAAGUGAAACUUCGGGUAAGGGGGAGGCUACCGUAGAUAGCCCAGUAUUUCUUAUUUUGUGGAUUUGUUUAUCUUUCUGCUCACAUCCUUUUCCUUCUGCAUUACCAUUUUAGUAAAAAUAGAUAGCAUCCA